UACGUAGGGUGCGAGCGUUAAUCGGAAUUACUGGGCGUAAAGCGUGCGCAGGCGGCGCGUUAAGACAGGUGUGAAAGCCCCGAGCUUAACCUUGGGAAUUGCGCUUGUGACUGGCGUGCUGGAGUGUGGCAGAGGGAGGUGGAAUUCCGACGUGUAGCAGUGAAAUGCGUAGAGAAUGUGGAGGAAUACCGAUGGCGAAGGGCAGGCCCCCUGGGACUAACGACGUGA
This 228-nucleotide ribosomal RNA is filed under the name uncultured bacterium. RNAcentral describes it as "partial 16S ribosomal RNA". It matches the Rfam family "Bacterial small subunit ribosomal RNA", at positions 524 to 751 of the family's 1533-position model. The record is from RNAcentral.